Molecule: ribosomal RNA, 885 nt
Filed under: Hypocrella discoidea
Lineage: Eukaryota; Fungi; Ascomycota; Sordariomycetes; Hypocreales; Clavicipitaceae
Description: LSU rRNA
Rfam family: Eukaryotic large subunit ribosomal RNA
Source: RNAcentral
AAGCGGAGGAAAAGAAACCAACAGGGAUUGCCCCAGUAACGGCGAGUGAAGCGGCAACAGCUCAAAUUUGAAAUCUGGCCCCUCCCCCGGGGGGGCCCGAGUUGUAAUUUGCAGAGGAUGCUUCUGGCGAGGUGCCUUCCGAGUUCCCUGGAACGGGACGCCACAGAGGGUGAGAGCCCCGUCUGGUCGGACACCGAGCCUCUGUGAAGCUCCUUCGACGAGUCGAGUAGUUUGGGAAUGCUGCUCUAAAUGGGAGGUAUAUGUCUUCUAAAGCUAAAUACCGGCCAGAGACCGAUAGCGCACAAGUAGAGUGAUCGAAAGAUGAAAAGCACUUUGAAAAGAGGGUUAAACAGUACGUGAAAUUGUUGAAAGGGAAGCGCUCACGACCAGACCUGGUCCCGGCGAAUCACCCGGCGUUCUCGCCGGUGCACUUCGACGGGCUUCCAGGCCAGCAUCAGUCCGCGCCGGGGGACAAAGGCGGCGGGAACGUGGCUCCCCAGGGAGUGUUAUAGCCCGCCGCGCAAUGCCCCGGGGGCGGACUGAGGACCGCGCGUCACCGCAAGGAUGCUGGCGUAAUGGUCUUCAGCGACCCGUCUUGAAACACGGACCAAGGAGUCGUCCUCGUAUGCGAGUGUUGGGGCGUCAAACCCCCCGCGCGUAAUGAAAGUGAACGGCAGGUGAGAGCCCUCGCGGGCGCAUCAUCGACCGAUCCUGAUGUUCUCGGAUGGAUUUGAGUAAGAGCAUACGGGGCCGGACCCGAAAGAAGGUGAACUAUGCCUGUGUAGGGUGAAGCCAGAGGAAACUCUGGUGGAGGCUCGCAGCGGUUCUGACGUGCAAAUCGAUCGUCAAACAUGGGCAUGGGGGCGAAAGACUAAUCGAACCUUC